UCUCUGGAGUCCUGUCUUAUUAUUUCUCCCUCUUGUAGGGACUCCUGCCAUUGUGAUAUCAUCCACCAUGUCUUCCACCAGAGCCAAGAAGAAGCCAGCAUCAUGCUCUUAGACCUCUAAAACUAUAAGCUAAGUAACCUCUUUUCUUUGUAAAGUACUCAGUCUCAAGUAUUUUGUUAUAACAAAAUUGUUAUAACAACAGAAAACAAACUAAGACAUGAGACAAUCUCCAGAAACAGUCAGGGGUGACUCUGGCCAAGAGCUAAUGUGAAAAGAACACCCACCUCUCUGAGACUGGAGGAAGGAAGGGCUGGCCAGAUGGAGAAGUCUGCAGGUGGGAGGAGCCGGAAGAAUUCACACUUGAUUCCCUCUGCUUGGUGACCUAGGAGGCAAUGAUUUGUGCUAAGCACUAGAACUAGAGAACAAUCACUCCUUUUACAACCAUGCUUUCAAAAAGAAUAGUUUGUCUUGUUCUUUUCUAAAGAAUAAAGAGUUUUCUCUGCUCUCUUAUUGAGGGUGCUAAGUACUGCUGGCUUUUAAUAUCAAAACUAAUAAGAGGUUAAGGAUGUUGACUCUGGAGCCAGACUGCCUGGUUGGAAUCUCAUUAUGGCUACUUUGAGACAUUGGAUGAGAAACUUUGUCUCCAUGCCUCAGCUUUCUCAUCUGUAAAGUGGGGCUGAUAAUAAUAGGAUCUGCUUCAUAGGUGUCCGGAGGAUUAAAGGAGUACACUCAUGGAAAGCGCCUAUGACCAUGGCUGGCCCACAAUAAGCAGUCAGUGGACGUAGGCUGUUAUUACUGCAGAGGAGAGAGGCAGGAUGUAGGAGGUAACUUGAGCAAGUGGAAGAGCUGGGCAGGAAACAAAAAGGAUGUCAGCAAGGACGGUAACAUAUUGCUGAUAGAAAGGAGAGAGAGAUCCCAGGGCCCAGUCGAAGUUGGAGGUGUUUUGGGGUGUUCACUCCCUGGUGUCAGGAGUUGCCCUGAGGCUAGAAUGAGAGUCAAGAAGAAAACAGAGUUUCAGUCUAUGCAGAGAAUGUGGACAGGUAUAGAUGGGUCCAGACAUCCUGCUGGUACUGUCUAGGUGCUGGGCAGCCCAGGGACCUGGUGGCUGGGCUGCCCCACAGGUAAGGACAAGAUGUUACUCUACCCAAGGCCAUUUGGGUUACAGGGAACAGGUGUCCAUGGGAACCAACUCAGGUCAAAGAGGUUAGGGUGGUCAGUGGGUGUUACAGGACACAGCAGGCAAUCUUGAGUUAUGAAUUCAAAGAGCAGGAAAUGGGGCUCAACAGAUGGAGUCUCAGGGGACAGGGUGGGACCGGAAGGGAGGUUCCUCUCUGCUUUAUGAGCUUUAGGGUCCUUCAGCUGCACCUCUCCCCACUCAUCUCUCUUGACCAGUCUUCUGCUUUUUUUAUGUUGUUGUUGUUUUCCUCUUAUUUUUGCAGAGCUGGGGAUUGACUCAAAGCCUCCUGCACACUAAGCAGGUGCUCUACUACUGAGCCACACCCUGGCCCUGCUUCACGUUCUCAUCAGGGGCAGCUUUCUGUCCCUCUUAUCUGCAAAAUGAUCACAGCCCUGAGUAUUACAAUGUUCAAGCAACAGCAGUCAAUGCAUAGUAUACCUGAUGGACUGGCAGGUAUCAGAGCCAGAUAUCCUAUUCUGAGCUGAUGAGGCCAGAUGCCCUACCCUGGGCCCUCAGCCAUGGGCAGGGUGUGUAUCUUGGCAAAUGCAUUACAAAAUUAGUAUUCCCAUAAAAUAAGUUUGGGUUUCCUCUCAUGUUUCAUGUAAAAGUAAAAACAGAAACUCAGUGAUUUCAUUGAGGUUUUUGGUUUUUUGCUUCAUCAGAACUUCCUCUGCCCCGAGGGAACUGAAUGAAGGCUACAGAUGGAAGCCUGUGCUCCCCUCCACUUUCUCCAGAUGCUUGCUCUAGUGUCUCCCAUUUUUCCCACUUUCAGAGCCUUUUUUUCCAACUUUCUUUCAAAAUUAUUUCAUUUUUUUUCUGAGUUCUUUCCUGGCUGACUCCUCUUACUUCCCUGGAUGUCCCCCCCCCCCAUCUUUUCUUCUCCACUCCUAACAGUUUAAUGAAAAUUCUAACACAGAGAAAAGUUAGAAUAGUGAGAUGGCAGCUGUAUACAUCUCGAUUCAGCAGGCCACCUUUGCCAUAUUUGCUUUCUCCUCUCUUCCCCCACAUCCUCUCCUCCCCCUCCUAGAGAAUAAGAAAAAUCCAUUACAUAACUCCAAUACCGUUAUCAUUCCUAAUGAAAUUAACAACAACUCUAUGUUGUCUUAGACUGUUUUGUACAACAAUAACUGAGUAUUCCAGACUGAAUAAUUCAUAAAGAACAGAACCUUGUGCUGGGAGUGUAGUUUCAGUUGUAGAGUACUUGCCUAGCAUGCACGAGGCCCUGGGUUCCAUCCCCAGCACUGCACGUAUACAACAAAUGAACAAAACCCUGAGCUUUAUUUCCCGCAGUUCUGGGGGUACAGAUGCAGCAAAUGCUGGGUCCUCAAUAAAUGGUAGAGUGGCAGAACAUAUACUCUGUGAAGUCUCUUUAAUAAAGCCUUUAAUCCCAUUAACAAGGAAGGAGCCCAUAUGACCGAAUCAUCUCUUAAAGGGCUCAUUGUCAUGUUGGGAAAACCUGGACUCUGAAGGGAACACAGUCAAACCGUAUCCCAUGACUCUUACAUCUUCCAUAUUCAGAUUUCCCCAGUUGUCUGUCCUAGCUGUUGGAUUCCUAACUCUUCUCAUUUCCAAACUGUAUUCUGAUUCUUGAAUCUCAGCUGCCCUCUUCUUCACAGGGAACAUUCUCUUGGCAGGAUCCAAGAAGUGUUAAAUUAACCUCAAGAAAAACCCACUGGAUUCUGUAAUCCACAGGGAUAUUCAUAUCUCCCCAUGUUCUGCUUGGGGAAAAGAAAAAUCAGUCCAUUUCUUUGGGGCUCCAAUCACAAUCACAUCUGUGUUCUUCAUCACCCUCUGUAGAGUCCCUGGUUUGCAUUUGGUUCACAAGCAACAUCUCAGGGAGGGUCACACCCCUCUCAUUAUCUCAGGAAUGGCAGUUAAGGUUUGGGCCAUUUCUCUGAAAGGCUGACCCCAAUGAUUUUUCCUAAUUUCAUUUUCAAAGAGUAGUUUUUGCUUCACUUAGGUUCCAGUGCUUUCUAAAACCUUUUUGGAAUGCUAAGAGAAGCAGUAACAGGAGAAAGCAAUUCUGGAUGGAUUUUUUUCUUUUCUUAAUCUAAUUAAUCAUUUUCCAAUGUUUUGUUAGGC
RNAcentral lists this long non-coding RNA (3259 nucleotides) under Marmota monax (woodchuck). The record is from RNAcentral. Lineage: Eukaryota; Metazoa; Chordata; Mammalia; Rodentia; Sciuridae.